GACGAACGCUGGCGGCGUGCUUAACACAUGCAAGUCGUACGGUAAGGCCCUUUCGGGGGUACACGAGUGGCGAACGGGUGAGUAACACGUGAGUAACCUGCCCACAACUUUGGGAUAACGCUAGGAAACUGGUGCUAAUACUGGAUAUGUUCUCCUGCUGGAUGGUGGGGGUUGGAAAGCUCCGGCGGUUGUGGAUGGACUCGCGGCCUAUCAGCUUGUUGGUGGGGUAGUGGCCUACCAAGGCGGCGACGGGUAGCCGGCCUGAGAGGGUGACCGGCCACAUCGGGACUGAGAUACGGCCCAGACUCCUACGGGAGGCAGCAGUGGGGAAUAUUGCACAAUGGGCGCAAGCCUGAUGCAGCAACGCCGCGUGCGGGAUGACGGCCUUCGGGUUGUAAACCGCUUUCAGCAGGGACGAAGCUUUUUGUGACGGUACCUGCAGAAGAAGCACCGGCUAACUACGUG
This 465-nucleotide ribosomal RNA is filed under the name uncultured bacterium. Its description in RNAcentral is "partial 16S ribosomal RNA". It matches the Rfam family "Bacterial small subunit ribosomal RNA", at positions 28 to 507 of the family's 1533-position model. The record is from RNAcentral.